UACGUAGGGUGCAAGCGUUGUCCGGAAUUAUUGGGCGUAGAGAGCUCGUAGGCGGUCUGUCGCGUCGGAUGUGAAAACCCAGGGCUCAACCCUGGGCCUGCAUUCGAUACGGGCAGACUAGAGUUCGGUAGGGGAGACUGGAAUUCCUGGUGUAGCGGUGAAAUGCGCAGAUAUCAGGAGGAACACCGGUGGCGAAGGCGGGUCUCUGGGCCGAAACUGACGCUGAGGAGCGAAAGCGUGGGGAGCAAACAGG
RNAcentral lists this ribosomal RNA (253 nucleotides) under uncultured bacterium. Its description in RNAcentral is "partial 16S ribosomal RNA". It matches the Rfam family "Bacterial small subunit ribosomal RNA", at positions 524 to 776 of the family's 1533-position model. The record is from RNAcentral.